UUCCUACGGGUGGCUGCAGUGGGGAAUUUUGGACAAUGGGCGCAAGCCUGAUCCAGCCAUGCCGCGUGAGUGAAGAAGGCCUUCGGGUUGUAAAGCUCUUUCAGACGGAAAGUAAUCGGUGCGUUUAAUACAUGCACUGGAUGACGGUACCGUAAGAAGAAGCACCGGCUAACUACGUGCCAGCAGCCGCGGUAAUACGUAGGGUGCGAGCGUUAAUCGGAAUUACUGGGCGUAAAGCGUGCGCAGGCGGUUAUGUAAGACAGAUGUGAAAGCCCCGGGCUCAACCUGGGAACUGCGUUUGUGACUGCAUAACUAGAGUACGGCAGAGGGAGGUGGAAUUCCACGUGUAGCAGUGAAAUGCGUAGAGAUGUGGAGGAACACCGAUGGCGAAGGCAGCCUCCUGGGCCAGUACUGACGCUCAUGCACGAAAGCGUGGGGAGCAAACAGGAUUAGAUACCCGAGUAGUCCGU
RNAcentral lists this ribosomal RNA (470 nucleotides) under uncultured Zoogloea sp. Its description in RNAcentral is "bacterial SSU rRNA". It matches the Rfam family "Bacterial small subunit ribosomal RNA", at positions 336 to 798 of the family's 1533-position model. Lineage: Bacteria; Pseudomonadati; Pseudomonadota; Betaproteobacteria; Rhodocyclales; Zoogloeaceae. The record is from RNAcentral.